This 253-nucleotide ribosomal RNA is filed under the name uncultured bacterium. RNAcentral describes it as "partial 16S ribosomal RNA". It matches the Rfam family "Bacterial small subunit ribosomal RNA", at positions 524 to 776 of the family's 1533-position model. The record is from RNAcentral.
UACGUAGGGACCAAGCGUUGUUCGGAUUUACUGGGCGUAAAGGGCGCGUAGGCGGCUUGUCAAGUCACUUGUGAAAUCUCUGGGCUUAACCCAGAACGGCCAAGUGAAACUGACAUGCUAGAGUGCAGAAGGGGCAAUCGGAAUUCUUGGUGUAGCGGUGAAAUGCGCAGAUAUCAGGAGGAACACCGGUGGCGAAGGCGGUUCUCUGGGCAUUACCUGACGCUGAGGCACGAAGGCCAGGGGAGCAAACGGG